GAAUGCUGACAUAAGUAACGAUAAAGCGGGUGAAAAGCCCGCUCGCCGGAAGACCAAGGGUUCCUGUCCAACGUUAAUCGGGGCAGGGUGAGUCGACCCCUAAGGCGAGGCCGAAAGGCGUAGUCGAUGGGAAACGGGUUAAUAUUCCCGUACUUGGUGUUACUGCGAAGGGGGGACGGAGAAGGCUAUGUUGGCCGGGCGACGGUUGUCCCGGUUUAAGCGUGUAGGUGUGUGUUCCAGGUAAAUCCGGUUCACUUUAACACUGAGGCGUGACGACGAGGCACUACGGUGCUGAAGCAACAAAUGCCCUGCUUCCAGGAAAAGCCUCUAAGCAUCAGGUAACACGAAAUCGUACCCCAAACCGACACAGGUGGUCAGGUAGAGAAUACCAAGGCGCUUGAGAGAACUCGGGUGAAGGAACUAGGCAAAAUGGUGCCGUAACUUCGGGAGAAGGCACGC
Molecule: ribosomal RNA, 459 nt
Filed under: Salmonella enterica
Lineage: Bacteria; Pseudomonadati; Pseudomonadota; Gammaproteobacteria; Enterobacterales; Enterobacteriaceae
Also listed under: 2 other names
Description: partial 23S ribosomal RNA
Rfam family: Bacterial large subunit ribosomal RNA
Source: RNAcentral